AAAAAAAAAGGUAGGGUCUCACUAAAUUGUCAAAUUGACUAGGCUGGGCUGGACUGAAUUUGGAAUCCUCCUGCCUCAUCUUCCCAGAGUGCUGGGAUUAUAGGUGUGCACCACCACGCCCAGCUAAAAGUCAUUUUAAUGGCUAUAUACUACUUCACCCUAUACUCAUACUAUGGUAUAAUUUAUUUAACCCACCCUCUGGCCUUGAACAUGGGCAUUUACAUUUUCUUUUCUUUUCCUGGAGGUUGCCAUCAUCAACGCUGCGGAAGCAAACACUCUAGCAAGUACCUUCACUAACCACCGCGUAUUUUCAUAAAAAGGAAAAUCCCCAACAGGAGAAAGGCGACAGAGCGUCGCCGUCCAGACAAGCCCUGCGCAUGCGCCCUCCUCCUCAUGAUGACGUCCGCUGGGUGCUGGCCCUGGUCCUUCCAGCACCAAGGGCUCGGGUGUCACCGCCGCGGGUCAAGGCUUGGGAGCCGCUUUAAUAAAGGGCCGGGGCGGGCGGAAGCGAGGAAGGCGACUCGGGGGCGCGCACCCGACGUCUCUGCUGUGCCACGAGAGCGCGCGUCGCCUAGGCCGCGGGGCCUGGGACUCAGAGCUGCUCGCUAAGGUCACAUUCACAGGCACAGGGCUGUGGCCCGUCGUUGGGAAGGACACCUUUCGACUCAUAGCAAGAAAAUGAGAUGGAAACAGCCCUGCUCAUUCCAGGGCUUGUAAAGGAGACUGAACAAAGCCUCAGUUUUCCCCUGGUGAAGCGGACACACUGGGUACCGAUGCUCUCUGACGCAAGCAGCCACUGCUUCUGAGGAAGGAGAAGCCUGUGAGGAGCGCGGGACAGCAACCUCUUUUCUGACGUGGGUGAGUCCCGCGCAGACACCUGGCACUCUCUCUCCAGGCUGGCGGGCAGGCCUGGGGCACUGUUUCAUUUGCUCCCAGAGCUUGGGCUCAUGGUUCAGUUCUGCAGGCCACCCUCCUUCCUGGUGGGAGACUCCCCUCGGCGGUGGCACCGGUCCCUUCGUGGGCUGGCGAAUUGUUCUGUGCUCCGGGCCUGAAGGACUUGUCUAGAUUUGGCCAACAUGACCUGUGUGAAGCACAGAAGAUGAACCCUCUUGACUGGCAGCGAGCUGCAUGCAGGAGGCGCCCUGGUUGGCCUGAGGUUGCCCAUCCAGGCCUGGUGUGGCAGCUCGGCUCUGCCAUCCUGACCCCUGGCGCCCUCCUCUCUUCCUCCUGUGGCUCAGCCUUUUUCCUCUUUUACCUGAUAAUAUAGCAACAUCAGAGAAAAACAUUUCCCAAAAAGCCUUCCAAAUCCUGCCCUCCUAACCCAUUCUCUCUCUAUAUAUAGGUGUGUUUGUUUGCUUGCUUUUUGGUACUGGG
Fukomys damarensis (Damara mole-rat) is the source of this 1374-nucleotide long non-coding RNA. RefSeq lists it as uncharacterized. NCBI's taxonomy places the organism in Eukaryota, Metazoa, Chordata, Mammalia, Rodentia, Bathyergidae. The record is from RefSeq and is a predicted model, not a curated record. The transcript is spliced from 3 exons.